GAUGAAGAACGUAGCGAAAUGCGAUAAGUAAUGUGAAUUGCAGAAUUCAGUGAAUCAUCGAAUCUUUGAACGCACAUUGCGCCCCCUGGUAUUCCGGGGGGCAUGCCUGUUCGAGCGUCAUUUCACCACUCAAGCCUCGCUUGGUAUUGGGCAACGCGGUCCGCCGCGUACCUCAAAUCGACCGGCUGGGUCUUCUGUCCCCUAAGCGUUGUGGAAACUUUCGCUAAAGGGUGUUCGGGAGGCUACGCCGUAAAACAACCCCAUUUCUAAGGUUGACCUCGGAUCAGGUAGGGAUACCCGCUGAACUUAAGCAUAUCAAUAAGCGGAGGA
Molecule: unclassified non-coding RNA, 330 nt
Filed under: soil metagenome
Description: partial contains 5.8S ribosomal RNA, internal transcribed spacer 2, and large subunit ribosomal RNA
Rfam family: 5.8S ribosomal RNA (bases 1-120)
Source: RNAcentral